This 616-nucleotide ribosomal RNA is filed under the name uncultured bacterium. RNAcentral's name for it is "bacterial SSU rRNA". It matches the Rfam family "Bacterial small subunit ribosomal RNA", at positions 338 to 1533 of the family's 1533-position model. The record is from RNAcentral.
CCUACGGGAGGCAGCAGUGGGGAAUUUUGGACAAUGGGCGCAAGCCUGAUCCAGCAAUGCCGCGUGAGUGAAGAAGGCCUUCGGGUUGUAAAGCUCUUUUGUCAGGGAAGAAACGGUGGGGGCUAAUAUCUCCUGCUAAUGACGGUACCUGAAGAAUAAGCACCGGCUAACUACGUGCCAGCAGCCGCGGUAAUACGUAGGGUGCAAGCGUUAAUCGGAAUUACUGGGCGUAAAGCGUGCGCAGGCGGUUUUGUAAGUUUGUCGUGAAAUCCCCGGGCUCAACCUGGGAAUGGCGAUGAAGACUGCAAGGCUAGAAUCUGGCAGAGGGGGGUAGAAUUCCACGUGUAGCAGUGAAAUGCGUAGAGAUGUGGAGGAACACCGAUGGCGAAGGCAGCCCCCUGGGUCAAGAUUGACGCUCAUGCACGAAAGCGUGGGGAGCAAACAGGAUUAGAUACCCUGGUAGUCCACGCCCUAAACGAUGUCUACUAGUUGUCGGGUUUUAAUUAACUUGGUAACGCAGCUAACGCGUGAAGUAGACCGCCUGGGGAGGUACGGUCGCAGAUAAACUACGAAGAAGUAGACGCGNGAGAGUGCGAGACGACGACGAGGGAGGAGG